Molecule: ribosomal RNA, 355 nt
Filed under: uncultured bacterium
Lineage: Bacteria
Description: bacterial SSU rRNA
Rfam family: Bacterial small subunit ribosomal RNA
Source: RNAcentral
GGACCCGCACAAGUAGUGGAGCAUGUGGUUUAAUUCGAAGAUACGCGCAGAACCUUACCAACACUUGACAUGUUCGUCGCGACUCUAAGAGAUUAGAGUUUUCGGUUCGGCCGGACGAAACACAGGUGCUGCAUGGCUGUCGUCAGCUCGUGUCGUGAGAUGUUGGGUUAAGUCCCGCAACGAGCGCAACCCUCACUUUUAGUUGCCAUCAUUAAGUUGGGCACUCUGAAAGAACUGCCAGUGAUAAGCUGGAGGAAGGUGGGGAUGACGUCAAGUCCUCAUGGCCCUUACGUGUUGGGCUACACACGUGCUACAAUGGUUAGGACAAGAGUUGCAAUUUGCAAAAAUUAGCUAA